UGGGGAAUUUUGGACAAUGGGCGCAAGCCUGAUCCAGCCAUGCCGCGUGCGGGAAGAAGGCCUUCGGGUUGUAAACCGCUUUUGUCAGGGAAGAAAUCUUCUGAGUUAAUACCUCGGGAGGAUGACGGUACCUGAAGAAUAAGCACCGGCUAACUACGUGCCAGCAGCCGCGGUAAUACGUAGGGUGCAAGCGUUAAUCGGAAUUACUGGGCGUAAAGCGUGCGCAGGCGGUUUUGUAAGACAGAGGUGAAAUCCCCGGGCUCAACCUGGGAACUGUCUUUGUGACUGCAAGGCUUGAGUGCGGCAGAGGGGGGAUGGAAUUCCGCGUGUAGCAGUGAAAUGCGUGGAUAUGCGGAGGAACACCGAUGGCGAAGGCAAUCCCCUGGGCCUGCACUGACGCUCAUGCACGAAAAGCGUGGGGGAGCAAACAGGAUUAGAUACCCCUGGUAGUCCACGCCCCUAAAACGAUGUCAACUGGUUGUUGGGGAAAGGUUCCUUCUCAGUAAACGUAGCUAAACGCGUGAAGUUGGACCGCCUGGGGGAGUACGGCCGCAA
Molecule: ribosomal RNA, 555 nt
Filed under: uncultured bacterium
Lineage: Bacteria
Description: partial 16S ribosomal RNA
Rfam family: Bacterial small subunit ribosomal RNA
Source: RNAcentral